AUUAGAUACCCUGGUAGUCCGCACGGUAAACGAUGGAUGCCCGCCGUUGGGUAUUUUUAUUCAGCGGCCAAGCGAAAGCGUUAAGCAUCCCACCUGGGGAGUACGCCGGCAACGGUGAAACUCAAAGGAAUUGACGGGGGCCCGCACAAGCGGAGGAACAUGUGGUUUAAUUCGAUGAUACGCGAGGAACCUUACCCGGGCUUGAAUUGCAGAUGACGGAUCCAGAGAUGGUGACUUCCUUCGGGACAUCUGUGAAGGUGCUGCAUGGUUGUCGUCAGCUCGUGCCGUGAGGUGUCGGCUUAAGUGCCAUAACGAGCGCAACCCCUUUCGUCAGUUGCCAUCGGGUAAUGCCGGGCACUCUGGCGACACUGCCGCCGCAAGGUGUGAGGAAGGUGGGGAUGACGUCAAAUCAGCACGGCCCUUACGUCCGGGGCUACACACGUGUUACAAUGGGGCAUACAGAGAGUUGGUCAUGCGCAAGCAUGAUCGGAUCAUGAAAGUGUCCCUCAGUUCGGACUGGGGUCUGCAACCCGACCCCACGAAGCUGGAUUCGCUAGUAAUCGCGCAUCAGCCAUGGCGCGGUGAAUACGUUCCCGGGCCUUGUACACACCGCCCGUCAAGCCAUGAAAGCCGGGGGCGCCUGAAGUCCGUGACCGCGAGAGUGCGGCCUAGGGUGAAACCGGUGAUUGGGGCUAAGUCGUAACAAGGUACC
This 712-nucleotide ribosomal RNA is filed under the name uncultured bacterium. RNAcentral describes it as "bacterial SSU rRNA". It matches the Rfam family "Bacterial small subunit ribosomal RNA", at positions 777 to 1500 of the family's 1533-position model. The record is from RNAcentral.